CUAACCCAAAGCUUCCACCGAUGCCCAUUCCACGGCGGCGGAGGCCGGCAGCUUAUCCAAGUAGCCAUGGCAGUGCGCAUGGCGGUGGGCCUGCGCGCGAUGGUGGCGUCGUCUACCCCUCCGCGGUGCCGUAUGCUGCCGGCGAGCGUGGAACCUGCAGCUGGUUCAGUGACUUGAGCCCUUAUUGUUCAGAAUUGUGAAGGAAAACAUACCAGUGCCUUGAAGGAGAUGAGUGAGCCAUUGAAGAUGCGCGUCUUGAGCCUGUCAUCAGCUUUUCAAGCAGCUUGGUGGCAUCGAAUCUGUAUUGACAUGGCAAAUCCUGACAUCAGACAUCAUGUCUUCCUACCAUGCAGAGUAAGUUAUUCGGGAUAUGAUCUCCUUUCUACCCUUACAGGAUGGUACAGAUAAUAAAAUAAGAAGCAGGUAGAAUUUUUCUUGGUUUUGAUCUUUCACUGUCAGUUAUUUCUCUUGCAAAUUUGGUUUGUUGUUUGCCUCGCUAAGUGGCUAACAAUCAUAAUUAGAUCAGUUUUUCAAUCUUAAAUAAGUUUUAUC
Panicum virgatum (switchgrass) is the source of this 552-nucleotide long non-coding RNA. RefSeq lists it as uncharacterized. The record is from RefSeq and is a predicted model, not a curated record. The transcript is spliced from 3 exons. NCBI's taxonomy places the organism in Eukaryota, Viridiplantae, Streptophyta, Magnoliopsida, Poales, Poaceae.